UGAGGCUGCUGGGCUCAGUUCUAGUCCCGACAGUCGUGAGACUCUCCCAACAGCAAACGUUUGGUCACCUUUAUAUCUGACGUGUUAACACAGUUACACCUAAAGUUAUAUAUACAGUACCAGGGAGACGGCCCAACAGAUCCUUGCUGUGCUCAUGUGAGGGCCAGAGUUCAGAUGGCAGCACAAAUGUAGAAGUUGGGUGUGGCAGCUGGCGUGCCUGUAGCUCAGCCAGCCUCGUCCAGAGCGCCAAGGAUCAAGUGAGAGACUGCGGAUCACACUACAGGGGGACAGCAGUAGGAGCUGGCACUCAGCCUCUGGCCAAGCCGUGUGCAGGCACAGGCCGGUCUGGAAGGUUUACAUGCUGUGUGUGAUGUACAGGCCAGUCUGGAAGGUUUACAUGCUGUGUGUGAUGCAGGGGCCAGUCUGGAAGGUUUACAUGCAGUGUGUGAUGCAGGGGCCAGUCUGGAAGGUUUACAUGCAGUGUGUGAUGCAGGGGCCAGACUGGAAGGUUUACAUGCAGUGUGUGAUGCAGGGGCCGGACUGGAAGGUUUACAUGCAGUGUGUGAUGUACAGGCCAGUCUGGAAGGUUUACAUGCAGUGUGUGAUGUACAGGCCAGUCUGGAAGGUGCAGUGUGUGAUGCAGGGGCCAGUCUGGAAGGUUUACAUGCAGUGUGUGAUGAGGGGCCGGACUGGAAGGUUUACAUGCAGUGUGUGAUGCAGGGGCCAGUCUGGAAGGUUUACAUGCAGUGUGUGAUGCAGGGGCCGGUCUGGAAGGUUCACAUGCUGUGUGUUAUACAUGAUGGUGCUUUGGUGUAUGCUCACCAUGUGGAAUUGCCCAGUCAAACUGCUGAGCAGCGUUUUCCAGACUACAUACAGCUCUUGGAAUCUGUUUCUCAACAUGCAGUACGCAUCUUGUUCCUAACUGAGGUCACGUGUUGUACAGGGAACUCUGCGGUCUGUUCCUUUUGUCUAGGUAAACUCUGUGUUUCUUGACUGACGUCACCAGUCUCACCGCCAUUUACGUGGUGGUCACCGUUCUUUAUAGACAUAAGAACCUGAAGACUUACUUCAUUACCCCAGUGUUCUCCAGGCUCUUUCUUGUGGUCACAAAUAAGGGCUCCUCUUCUCCCCCCCCCUUUUUUUGGGAUAUUGGGGAUGGGACCCAGGUCCUCACACCUGCUAUACACACCGUCUAAACCCGAGCCCUGUCACUGCCCUCAUUCCCAUUUAAGACUAUACUUCUGUGAAGUAUAGCAACAUUUUCUUUAUCCAUUCAUCAUUAGGCACUUAGGUCAAGUCUUAAAUGUUGUCUCAUGUUUUAUCAUUGCCUGAUUUCUUAAUGAUAGUGUUUCAAAUAUCCUUCUUUAACGUCAUAAUUUUUUGUUUUAAUGAGAAAUCAGUUUAUAAGAAAUCUGACUGUUAAAACUCAGAAGUUUGUGCAUUUUUUUAAUGCUAAAUGAGAAGAAAAGCACAAAAGGACAAGGCCUGUCCACUUACAGGGUUCCCAGGCCAGGGAACCCAGGGCUCUGGGGAGGGAGCUGGCUUCCUCAAGUGAUCUGGGCGACUUAAGGCCAUUGACUGUCUGCUUCAAGGCAGUUAAAACCGUAAAUUUUAUAAUGCAUUUCUAGUAUAAUAAAAAGUUAAA
Molecule: long non-coding RNA, 1645 nt
Organism: Alexandromys fortis (reed vole)
Lineage: Eukaryota; Metazoa; Chordata; Mammalia; Rodentia; Cricetidae
Exons: 3
Source: RefSeq, a predicted model, not a curated record